Euryarchaeota archaeon TMED280 is the source of this 313-nucleotide non-coding RNA. Lineage: Archaea; Methanobacteriati; Methanobacteriota. The record is from Rfam.
GUAUGGGCUAGGGGGAGUGUUGACGUGCUCUAUUAUUCACAAAUCGUCAAUAAUGGUGACCUGAAGUCUGAGGGCGGCGUAAACGAAGCAUCGAUGACCCAUUGGGUAACAGCGACACUUCGCCUCCAAGAGAUGCAGGUUGGCAUAACGGAUUUCCGGAGGGAAAUUCGAAGUGCCUUAUACCCGGGAACCAGGUCAGGCGCGGAAGCGAGCAGCCCGACCGGGGAUGCUGGAUGCCUUGGAAUAGCGGAGUUGAGGANCUCAAUGAAUUUUCAUCGAUGGUGACGAACGUCCACCGAAGACAUGCCCACAU